GUGGGGAAUAUUGCGCAAUGGGCGAAAGCCUGACGCAGCGACGCCGCGUGAGGGAUGAAGGUUUUCGGAUCGUAAACCUCUGUCAGAAGGGAAGAAACUACGUUGUGCUAAUCAGCAGCGUACUGACGGUACCUUCAAAGGAAGCACCGGCUAACUCCGUGCCAGCAGCCGCGGUAAUACGGAGGGUGCAAGCGUUAAUCGGAAUUACUGGGCGUAAAGCGCACGUAGGCUGUAGUGUAAGUCAGGGGUGAAAUCCCACGGCUCAACCGUGGAACUGCCUUUGAUACUGCACAACUUGAAUCCGGGAGAGGGUGGCGGAAUUCCAGGUGUAGGAGUGAAAUCCGUAGAUAUCAGGAAGAACACCGGUGGCGAAGGCGGCUUGCUGGACAGUAACUGACGUUGAGGCUCGAAAGCGUGGGGAGCAAACAGGAUUAGAUACCCUAGUAGUCC
This 450-nucleotide ribosomal RNA is filed under the name uncultured bacterium. RNAcentral's name for it is "partial 16S ribosomal RNA". It matches the Rfam family "Bacterial small subunit ribosomal RNA", at positions 354 to 796 of the family's 1533-position model. The record is from RNAcentral.